GAUGAACGCUGGCGGCGUGCCUAAUACAUGCAAGUCGAGCGAACGGACGAGAAUCUUGCUUCUCUGAUGUUAGUGGCGGACGGGUGAGUAACACGUGGAUAACCUACCUAUAAGACUGGGAUAACUUCGGGAAACCGUAGCUAAUACCGGAUAAUAUUUUGAACCGCAUGGUUCAAAAGUGAAAGACGGUCUUGCUGUCACUUAUAGAUGGUUCCGCGCUGCAUUAGCUAGUUGGUAAGGUAACGGCUUACCAAGGCAACGAUGCAUAGCCGACCUGAGAGGAUGAUCGGCCACACUGGAACUGAGACACGGUCCAGACUCCUACGGGAGGCAGCAGUAGGGAAUCUUCCGCAAUGGGCGAAAGCCUGACGCAGCAACGCCGCGUGAGUGAUGAAGGUCUUCGGAUCGUAAAGCUCUGUUAUUAGGGAAGAACAUAUGUGUAAGUAAAUGUGCACGUCUUGACGGUACCUACUCAGAAAGCCCCGGCUAACUACGUG
This 497-nucleotide ribosomal RNA is filed under the name uncultured bacterium. RNAcentral describes it as "partial 16S ribosomal RNA". It matches the Rfam family "Bacterial small subunit ribosomal RNA", at positions 28 to 507 of the family's 1533-position model. The record is from RNAcentral.